UAUUGCUCUUCAACGAGGAAUCCCUAGUAAGCAUGAGUCAUCAGCUCGUGCUGAUUACGUCCCUGCCCUUUGUACACACCGCCCGUCGCUACUACCGAUUGAAUGGCUUAGUGAGACCCUCGGAUCGAUAAGUGGAAACCUUCACAGGUAUCCUUUUGUUGAGAAGUUGGUCAAACUUGGUCAUUUAGAGGAAGUAAAAGUCGUAACAAGGUUUCUGUAGGUAACCUUGCGGAAGGAUCAUU
RNAcentral lists this ribosomal RNA (242 nucleotides) under Gigaspora rosea. RNAcentral's name for it is "partial 18S ribosomal RNA". It matches the Rfam family "Eukaryotic small subunit ribosomal RNA", at positions 1591 to 1830 of the family's 1831-position model. The record is from RNAcentral. Lineage: Eukaryota; Fungi; Glomeromycota; Glomeromycetes; Diversisporales; Gigasporaceae.